CCCUUGACCACUGUUGACUAGUUGGGUUACAGAAUUUUGUGGUGCAGCCCCAUUAUAACUACUCCCUGCUUGUGUUCUUGUUGGGAUUUGACUAACGAAAGUCAUGUUGUUGAUUGGAACCUCCAUGUGAGCUAGGAAGGAAGGUAUUGCUUCACCUCCCAUUGCAUAACCAGCUGAGCGAGGGUGAUGCACCCCUCCUGCAACACUAGGCACCCAAGCUACAAGAUUACCAGAACGGGUGUAGAUUUCUCCCCCUCCAUCCACACCCUCUUUCCCCUAUCAAACCUUCGUACUUCCUCCAUGAACUCUUUUAGCAUCGCAAUAGCUUUCUUAUGUUGAUUCUCCAACUUUCUGUUUGAGGGAAAAGUUAGCCACUUCAAUUGUCAUCCUCCCAAACAUAGAUUUGAUCUCAUUCAUAUUUGUAGACAUUUCUAAUUAACCCAAAGAGCUCAAUGAAAGUGCUUUGAUACCAAAUGUUGCAGAUUACAAGAAAAUAGAGCUCAAGAACGGUAAAAAUCAAUGGAACAGUGCAAAAGUUAAAAAUUAAAGAAGAAGCUAACUAGUUACGACUAAGGAUAUUUCAUUCAAGAUAAUGUAGCAUACAACAACAACAAACCCAGUGUAUUCCCACUUAGUGGGGUCUGGGGGGGGGUAAGAUGUACGCAGUCCAUACCUCUACCUCUGAUGAAGUAGAAAGGCUGUUUCCGAAAGACCCCCGGCUCAAGUCACGAGAUAUCACACAAACACAUAGUACAGCACAGAAGCAGAUGACAUAACAUAGAUACGGCACCCAUAAGGAAUAUAAAACAGAGUAAAGCAGGAAUGCAGGAAUAUA
This 835-nucleotide long non-coding RNA is filed under the name Capsicum annuum. Its description in RNAcentral is "long non-coding RNA (CANN_LNC013766)". Lineage: Eukaryota; Viridiplantae; Streptophyta; Magnoliopsida; Solanales; Solanaceae. The record is from RNAcentral.